UUGAACGCUGGCGGAAUGCUUUACACAUGCAAGUCGAGCGGCAGCGCGGGGGCAACCCUGGCGGCGAGCGGCGAACGGGUGAGUAAUACAUCGGAACGUACCCAGUUGUGGGGGAUAGCCCGGCGAAAGCCGGAUUAAUACCGCAUAAGUCCUGAGGGAGAAAGCGGGGGACCGUAAGGCCUCGCGCGAUUGGAGCGGCCGAUGUUCGAUUAGCUAGUUGGUGGGGUAAAGGCCUACCAAGGCGACGAUCGAUAGCUGGUCUGAGAGGACGACCAGCCACACUGGAACUGAGACACGGUCCAGACUCCUACGGGAGGCAGCAGUGGGGAAUUUUGGACAAUGGGGGCAACCCUGAUCCAGCCAUUCCGCGUGAGUGAAGAAGGCCUUCGGGUUGUAAAGCUCUUUCGGACGGAAAGAAACGGUCACGGCCAAUACCCGUGGCUAAUGACGGUACCGUCAGAAGAAGCACCGGCUAACUACGU
RNAcentral lists this ribosomal RNA (482 nucleotides) under uncultured bacterium. RNAcentral's name for it is "bacterial SSU rRNA". It matches the Rfam family "Bacterial small subunit ribosomal RNA", at positions 29 to 506 of the family's 1533-position model. The record is from RNAcentral.